This 472-nucleotide ribosomal RNA is filed under the name Prevotella sp. oral taxon 317. RNAcentral describes it as "bacterial SSU rRNA". It matches the Rfam family "Bacterial small subunit ribosomal RNA", at positions 28 to 489 of the family's 1533-position model. The record is from RNAcentral. Lineage: Bacteria; Pseudomonadati; Bacteroidota; Bacteroidia; Bacteroidales; Prevotellaceae.
GAUGAACGCUAGCUACAGGCUUAACACAUGCAAGUCGCGGGGCAGCAUGGGGGUUGCUUGCAACCCCCGAUGGCGACCGGCGCACGGGUGAGUAACGCGUAUCCAACCUGCCCUUCACCACGGGAUAACCCGGCGAAAGUCGGACUAAUACCGUAUGUUGUCCAUUGACGGCAUCCGAUUUGGACGAAAGGUUUGGCGGUGAAGGAUGGGGAUGCGUCCGAUUAGCUUGACGGCGGGGUAACGGCCCACCGUGGCUACGAUCGGUAGGGGUUCUGAGAGGAAGGUCCCCCACACUGGAACUGAGACACGGUCCAGACUCCUACGGGAGGCAACAGUGAGGAAUAUUGGUCAAUGGGCGUAAGCCUGAACCAGCCAAGUAGCGUGCAGGAUGACGGCCCUAUGGGUUGUAAACUGCUUUUAUGCGGGGAUAAAGGAGCCCACGUGUGGGCUUUUGCAGGUACCGCAUGAAUAA